RNAcentral lists this small nuclear RNA (180 nucleotides) under Jaculus jaculus (lesser Egyptian jerboa). RNAcentral's name for it is "U2 spliceosomal RNA (ENSJJAG00000005357.1)". It matches the Rfam family "U2 spliceosomal RNA". From Rfam's summary of the family: U2 is a small nuclear RNA (snRNA) component of the spliceosome (involved in pre-mRNA splicing). Complementary binding between U2 snRNA (in an area lying towards the 5' end but 3' to hairpin I) and the branchpoint sequence (BPS) of the intron results the bulging out of an unpaired adenosine, on the BPS, which initiates a nucleophilic attack at the intronic 5' splice site, thus starting the first of two transesterification reactions that mediate splicing. The record is from Rfam by way of RNAcentral. Lineage: Eukaryota; Metazoa; Chordata; Mammalia; Rodentia; Dipodidae.
AUCACUUCUUGGCCUUUUUGCUGAAAUCAAGUAUAGAAUCUAGUCUUAUCAUUUUACUACAUGCUGCAAGCUCCAUCCUAGCACAAUGUAUUAAAUGGGCAGUGGGUGGAAUAGGAGCUUACUUUUCUACUCCAAGCACUUACCUGAUAUUGCAAUAUCUUCAGGAAUGAUGCAUUCCUC